This is a small nucleolar RNA of Lathyrus oleraceus (garden pea), 107 nucleotides long. The record is from RefSeq and is a predicted model, not a curated record. Lineage: Eukaryota; Viridiplantae; Streptophyta; Magnoliopsida; Fabales; Fabaceae.
AUUCUAUGGUGGGGAAAUUGUUUCAACAAUUCUUUAAAUCUCUCUCAAACAUCAAAUAAUGACUAUGUUUUCCUUUGUCGAAAUGAUGUAAUUUCAUUUCUCAUCAU